UCAGACGGGGAGACCGAUGCGGCGUGAAGACGGGGGGGGCGGAGGUGGUACGGGAUGAGUGGGCUGAAAGGGGACGUAGGCGGUUCAGUAAGUGUUGAGGUGAGUAUUCGGGCUACACUCGAAGUCUGAACGAGAAACUGCCGGGCUUGAGUGUGGGAGAGGUGAGUGGAAUUUCCGGGGUAGCGGUGAAAUGCGGAGAUAUCGGAAGGAACACCUGUGGCGAAAGCGGCUCACUGGACCACAACUGACGCUGAGGCACGAAAGCUAGGGGAGCAAACAGGAUUAGAUACCCGGGUAGUC
This 300-nucleotide ribosomal RNA is filed under the name uncultured Methanopyrus sp. Its description in RNAcentral is "bacterial SSU rRNA". The stretch from base 52 to 300 matches the Rfam family "Bacterial small subunit ribosomal RNA", at positions 547 to 795 of the family's 1533-position model. The record is from RNAcentral. Lineage: Archaea; Methanobacteriati; Methanobacteriota; Methanopyri; Methanopyrales; Methanopyraceae.